Long non-coding RNA from Musa acuminata AAA Group (dessert banana), 5857 nucleotides. RefSeq lists it as uncharacterized. Lineage: Eukaryota; Viridiplantae; Streptophyta; Magnoliopsida; Zingiberales; Musaceae. The record is from RefSeq and is a predicted model, not a curated record. The transcript has 2 exons.
CGUUCGGCCACCUUCGGCGUAGGCAAUUGCGUAUAUCCAACGCAAACUUCUACCCAACACCGACCGUUCCACCGACCCAUCCUUGUCGGCCACAACAACUAAGAAGGAUCCAUCUCAGCCGUUGCUUCUUUCUUUUAUUCUCUGAUCUAGAUCGUUGGCUUCCUCACUGCAACCCUAUAAAGGACGGCUCCCUGCCCUUAAACACGACCUUCGUUUUUGGUUGUGGCAAUGCGUCGUUACGCGUCUGCGGUGUCCUUUAAGUGGAUCCUCAGCCAUCCGUAAUCGAUGAUUUCGUUUUCGGAUUGGACGAUCCGUCGAUCGUUGAUUUCGUUUUCGGAUUGGAUGAUCUGUUUCCGAUAGGUGGUGCAUCCAAAUCCUCAGCCAUCCCUUAAUCGUUGAUUUCGUUGACGAAUGGGAUGUUCUGUUCUCGGCACUUGAAACAGAUAUACUUUCCAUGCGGGGUGUAUCAAAAUCCUUUUGUUCAUGUGGCUUUCGUUUUCGGGGACUUAGACAUUGGUCUUGAACGAAUCGGGUGAUCUAUUGUCAAUCGCUGCGGAUCGAAAGCGUUUGAUAUCUGUUGUUUUUGUUUUCUGAACGAAUUGGAUGAUCUAUUUUUUUCCCAAAGGAAUAUUGAGAGGCGAGGAGUUCCGAUUAGUGGAAUCCGACUAGUGGAUUAUUCUUUAACCGCUCUUUUUUUUAUUUUCUUGCGAUCUAUCAGAGGCCUUCACAAUUUUGCCGGAUUAAGGCUAUUUGCGACAGAUUUUAUAUGUACUUUCGAAGCGGUAGGUGAGGCUGUGGUGUUUGUGUGGGUAUUAUCCUAAUGGAACCCCCGCGGAGUCUGUGAUGCAAUUUGUGAAGGUUGCUCUGGUUUUCCGAAAUGAUCUGAACAAGGGAUGUGUCCUGUUUGUUCUGGUUUAGUUGGCCUUCGUUACGUUCAACUUUUAUUUGUUGCAUUUAUGUCCACCAGUUAGUUAUGUUUGUUUGUUUUUAUUUUUUGUGUGCAAGGGAAAGCGUCUGGAUAUGAUAUUUGAAAGAGAGAGGUGAGUGUUUUUCUACCUUGUUAUGAUAUUUGGUUUGAGAUAUGCGCUAACCGUAUCAGCAUCAAUGCUGUGUCUUUUGGAUACUCUAGUUGGAUUUAGACGGGUCUCAGGGAAGAGUUCCAUCAUCUUCUCAUUUAUUGAGGUUGCCUGUUAAAUUGUUGAUUAUUUUUCCUGUCCUCCUUCUGUCAGCAUUUUAUAUAUAUUGAAGUUAAGUUUAUCUCUUUAUUUUCUGAAUGUUCUAUUCCUAGUGUUUUUGUGGGCAGUUGCAGAAGCAUCAUCGUUAGGCAUGAUUCUAUUAAAUAGAGAUGGUAACUCCUUUGUUGGAUUGUUUUUGGUAUGAGACCUAGGAUUUUACAUUUUUGAUAAGGCUAGUUUCUGUGGCAGAUUCUAUAUGUAUCAUCGAUGCUGUUGGUGGGGCUAUGGUGUUUUUGUAGUUAUUAUCUGUAUGGAGCCACACGUAGCUGUGAUGCAGUUUGUAAAGGAUGCUCCAAUUAAGGAUGCUCCAAUUAAGGAUGCUCUGGUUUUUGUUGAAUGAUUUAAAUAGGUUUUCCAUUGGAUAGUGUUAUAUUUAAGGGGUUUCAUUGUUGUGACAUGUCGCUUAUUAUGAUGGAUCCAGGGCUUCCGAAAUUAUCUGAACAGUGGAUGUGUCCGGUUUGUGCUAGUUUAGUCAGCCCUUGUUACUUUCAAACAUUAAUUGUUGCCCUUACGUGCACAAGUUGGCCAUUUGAUACGGUUCUCAUCAAAGUAUGGUUGUUUGUUUUUAUUUGUUGUCUGCUAGGGGAAGCUGAUGGACAUCUAGUUUUGCAUGGGCAUGGGACAUUUUUUUGAAAGUGACAUCUAGUAUUUGGUUUCGAUAUGUUCUUACUCUAUCAUCAUUCAUGGAAGAGGUUCCUUUCACUUUUCAUUGGCUAUUUAAUUGUUGAUUGUCUGUCUACUUAUUCCAUUGGCUUGGUUCGUACAUUUUAUAAAUUUGCACUUUUGAAGUCAGUCUUUCUCUUUGUUUUCUGAAUGUUCUAUUUGUAGGGUUUUUGUGUGCAGUUGCAGAAGCAUCAGUAUCAGCAUUAGCCAUAAGCCUGGUUAUUAGGAUUAGGACCUUUCUUGGAUAGAAUUUUUGGUACGAGACAUACGUUUUGCCUGUUUUAAAAGGAUAGUUUAGAUUUAGGUGUUUAAUUUAUGCACGUUUGUGAUAUUAAGUUUUUGUCCAAUUGUUAAUUGUUCUUGUUGUUGUGAUUUUUUAGCUGUUACUUGCUUGGCAAGUCUUUUUGGUCAUACUAAUGUCUCAUUUGUCUCUUCUUGGAUUCUGUCAGAUUUCUAUUUUGCAGCUUAAUUAUCUUUUUUGUUUUAACCUGCCUCUGGUCAUCUGAUGUUUGGUUUCAGUUAGCUUGUAGAUGUUUUUUUAGUAUGACAUUUAAUCAUAUUUUGCUUUGAGUAAAUAACUUUGAUUGGUCUUUACUUUGAUUGGCUCAUGUUCUAUUGUUUUUUAUUCUACUUUAUCUCUUAUUAGUUGGCAUUUUUUAAGUUCUCUGUACAAUUUAUAGUUUUUUGUUCCAUGUAAACUUUUUUGUCCUUGUGUGUUUCUAGUGUAACUUUUGACAGGUGUCUUUUAUGUUGCCCUAUAAUGCUGAUGUGGCCUCAUAUGAGAGAUUAUUUUACCUUAAACAAUUCAUCAUGUUGUUUGUUUGCAGGAUUUAAAUAGGGUAUAUGGAAGGUUAUUUUGUUUGCCUAUUUGGUUUAUUACAUCCAGUUGUAUUAUUGGCUGCUCUUUCCAGAUGAAAUUUGGAUUUUCUGUCCUGGUUUUCUACAAUUAGUUAUUUCGUUUGGUAGCAGGAUUUUAUUUUGGAGUUAAUACAUUUCUAAAUUGGGUUAAUUACAUCCUUUGGUGUUCUUGGCUGGUUGUAUUAGAGGAAGUCAGCUAAUUUUGUUGAAUAACUUGAAUUCUGUAGUCAUUGUUUCCAUUGGCAUCAUUGCUGUUCAUUUAUUGCCAAAAUGCAGUCCAACAGUGCAAAGUUGUUACAUUUGAAAGGUCAAAUUAUUUUCACGGACUUUUUGAUCCUUUGGCUUAUAAAAGUUCUCUGCUACGUUUCUCUUCCUCUUAAUUAACUUCCUUAUCUCUUUUGAAUCUUGUUUCCUUUAUCUUGUGUGGAAGUUAGGACAUGGUAAUGAUUUUACGUACAGGUACUUGUGCUAUUAAGGUGUCUUUGUUGGUGAUCUUGGGUUAUGAUAAUUGUACUUCAUUGUUAUAUCGAUUUUUGAAUCAAUUCAAUAGCACAAUUGAUGGCUUAAAAAACAAGUGGGUUUUAAGAUGCAUUAUUACUUUUUUCUUGUAUCAAGUUGGAGGGAGGUACAGGCAUGCUGUGUUCUCUUGUUUUUCCUUGAAAUUCAUUUUAUAUUGCUGAUUUUUAUUAGAAGUGGUAAGUUAACUUCUCAGGCUGAUGUACUUUUGGCUGCUCAUUUUAUGUGUUGUUUGUCUACUUGAAGCUUGUUUUGGGAGUUGGGUUUCACGUUAAGAAAGCUGGGUUUCUCUUCAUUAUGGAGCCUUCACAUUAUAAACAAAGGAGUCCAAUUUUCAUCAAGGAAUCUUCUUGUGGGGACCCAAUUACUAAUUGAAUAUAUUUCCUUUAUGAAGAUUCUGCAACCAUAGCUGAUACAAACAAGUUUUCAAGAUUGUUGUUUUUGAUUUGCAUGAUGAAGAGAAUAGAAGUCCUAACCUAUACUCUUGGUAAUUUUCAUUCGCUUCUUGUCCUGUUGGACGGAGAUAUCUUCUGGAAUGGGCCUAAAAAAUUUUAUUAUUUGCAUGUUGUUUUUGAUAGUAUGUGUAGACAAUAUACUUAGUUCUAACGUGAUCAACAUUAGGUCUUUAGGAGUUUAUGAUAUCAUAAUGUCACGGACUUAGUUAGAAUUGCCUAAGUCGUGAGGCAUCAUUGUAACAAUUGUCAUUGCCUUAGUUGGAGUUGUCUAAGUCGUGAAGCACCCUUACGUCAACUUCUCAGUCUUAGUUGAGAUUUCCUAAGUCAUGAGGUGCCAUUGCGAUACAUGCAUUCGUAAAGGAUUAGUCUAGUUACAAUCUUGUGCAGGUCAUGAAAGACCUGUAAAACAGUAAGUUAAUUAGUUUGAAAAUGAGCUGCGGACAAGUCUCACGUUUCGCGAAGAGAGAAGCUUUACAAGCAAUUCAGUGAGCACCUUGAGUACAAGAGAGAAAAGAGAGGAAGGAGGAAAUAAGGACUUUAGAAGGUUGAUCGAACAAUUAUAAGCCUGCAAACAAUUGUUCAUCGGGUAUCAUGCGCGAAGGUAAGUUCCCAUCAAAUUAUAAUGAUUAUAGUUGAGAUUCUUUAUUGUGAGAGAUUAAGAAUUUUGUUGCCAAUUAACCUUCAAAGAUAGAUAAGCUAUGACUUGCAGCUCAACUUUUUCACUUCUAUCAUUGAUGUUCUACCUUUGUUGUAGUGAUCUUUUUUUUUAUUAAUUACUGGUCAUUGCAUGUUGACAUGUUGGUGGAUAUUUUCUUCUGAUGGGUUUUGACUUGUCAUUUGAUGAAUCCAGUGAUGGGGUUGGAUGUCUUUUUAGUUCUCCCGGUGUACUUUCUUUUUUCUGGGUAGAUAAAAAAUUUUGCUUCUAUUUUGGUGUAUAUUUUGGUUUUAAUAACCAUAUAAUGUCAAGAACUACUGUUGUUUCCUGUGUUUGAUGCAUUAUGGGUGUAGGCUUUGAAUGAGUAUGCAAGUUUAUAAUUUCUUUGCUUAUAUGUGUUGUAUUUCAAAUGUGUUUGGGAAAAAGAAUUGAGCAGCAUGUUGAUAAGAUUUUUGAGGGCGAGGUGCAUCUUUUCUCUACUUGAAUGACUUCUAUGAUGAAGCAAAGAUGUACGAUGCCAGGAACCAAGAUUGCAAAAUGUUUAUAAGCUAACUAUUGAUUUCUUCAUUGUAUAACAGUCAUUGUUUUCUUCAUUGGAUUGCAGACAUGAAAAGAUUGACUUCCUUUUGCAAAGCUAAUUACUGUUUGAAAGUUAAUUAUUAAUUUCUUCACUGUAGUUGGAACAUCUACAUAAAGCCUAGCAUAAUCAAUGUUAAUGGAAAUUCAUGGGAAAGACCCAUGAUUAAGUAGAUUGAAAAGCUUGGAACCGACUUUUAGGUUGAUCUGAUCCACUAGUCUCCAUUGCUGUUGCCCAUGAUGUUAGCAAGUUCUGAUUUUGUAGUAUUUUCCUGUAUGUACAUGUUUAUAUGAUUCAAAGAACUGUGGAAGGUUCGAUUAGGACACUGAAAAGGUUGGAAAAUGACUUUUGAGUUGAUUCACUUGUGUCUGUUGCUGUUGCCUGUGAUGUUUUGCAAUUCAUUAUUGGAUUUUGUUUAAUUUUCCUGUGCUCACAUUGAAUGAUUUGCUUAUGUUUUGUUACAGGUGAUGUGAACAAUGUAGUUGGAACAUCUACGGAAAGCCUAGCAUGAUUAAACAGAAAUUCAUGGGAAAUACGUUAUUGGCUUUUAACUGGUUUUCCCAGGAUUAACAUUAGAUUGAAAAGCUUGGAACUGACAUUUGAAUUGAUCCGCUAGUACCUGUUGCUGUUGCCCAUGAUGUUUGCAAGUUUUGGUUGGAUUUUGUUCUUUUCCUGUGUGUACAUGUUUUUAUAUGGUUCAAAGAACUCUGGAAGGUUGUGUUUGGUUGAAAGGGGACGGUGCAUUUGGAUUGAGAUUAGCAAAUUGAAAAGAUUGGAAAAUGACUUUUGAUUGAGAUUAGGGCAUUGAGAAGGUUGGAAAAUGAUUUUUUAGUUGAUUUGCAAGUCUCAGUAUCUAUUACCGGUGAUGUUCUGCAAUUUAUGGAUGGAUUUUGUUUUA